CUGGUAGUCCACGCCGUAAACGAUGAAUGCCAGCCGUUAGUGGGUUUACUCACUAGUGGCGCAGCUAACGCUUUAAGCAUUCCGCCUGGGGAGUACGGUCGCAAGAUUAAAACUCAAAGGAAUUGACGGGGGCCCGCACAAGCGGUGGAGCAUGUGGUUUAAUUCGACGCAACGCGCAGAACCUUACCAGCCCUUGACAUCCCGGUCGCGGACUCCAGAGACGGAGUUCUUCAGUUCGGCUGGACCGGAGACAGGUGCUGCAUGGCUGUCGUCAGC
Molecule: ribosomal RNA, 276 nt
Filed under: Bradyrhizobium sp. jwc91-2
Lineage: Bacteria; Pseudomonadati; Pseudomonadota; Alphaproteobacteria; Hyphomicrobiales; Nitrobacteraceae
Description: partial 16S ribosomal RNA
Rfam family: Bacterial small subunit ribosomal RNA
Source: RNAcentral